This 6337-nucleotide long non-coding RNA is filed under the name Sus scrofa (pig). RNAcentral describes it as "lncRNA (ENSSSCG00055000234.1, ENSSSCG00110011451.1)". Lineage: Eukaryota; Metazoa; Chordata; Mammalia; Artiodactyla; Suidae. The record is from RNAcentral.
UAAGUGUUAUGUUACAUCAUUCGGAGCCUUGAAAACCACAGUUUAGGUUUUCCUAUAAGUUCCUAAGUAAAGAAAAUGCCCUGGCAAAAUGAUCCAAGAGUUAGCUACAUUCUCAUUUGAAAGACUGGAAGAAAAGUGAAAUCAGGAACCAUCUGAGGUUGAGACCACAUCUUUUGUAGGAAGUAUGAGGCUUUUCUGCCUUUUUCCUUCCAUCAAUCCUUCUAGCAGUGGGGAAAACAGAAAACAAGACGACAACAAAAGAGAGGACUACUUCACAGUUGGCUUCAGACCAGUCCUGCCCCAGACUCAGGGCUCCAUUCUCAAAUUAAUGGUCUGCCCACAUGCUUCAUUCUUUACAAAUUCCCCAAAUUCACUUAACACAGUUAAAAAUCUCCAGCUGAGUUUCCAUCAGCACUCUCUGUGGAAGGAUACCAAAUGAAAGUGAAACUGUGCAUGUCUGGCCCCAUGAAGGGUGAAAUAUUCAGAAAACGUAUUGGACAUUUCAAAUACCUUCCAUUUUCUGCUGAGGCAGCUGACUUGCUGGGAACAUGUUCUCUGAGAAGUAAAAAGUUAAGUACUCUAUUCCAAAUCCUCAGUGGGGCAGUGAGCUUGACAGAACAUCAACUAGAGGAAGCCAAUUAGUGUACUUUUUACCAUGACAACCGUGCAUCUUCCUAAGAAAUCAGUGGGGCUCAUGCACUGAAGGGGGAGAAGGAGAAGAAUGUCAAAGAAAUGUGCUGGCUUUGAAAGACCCCUUUUUGAAAUGAGCCAAUAUUAUUUUCUUGAAAUGUCUAGAAAUGGAGAAUUAGUCCUUUCAAUGACAUGACAUUCGUUUAGCUCAUGCACGCAUAGUUUCUGGAUGGAGGAAAGGAUUAGCAAGAGCAGGAGUCUGAGAAAGUACCCCAAUUAUAUACACAGUUUAUACACCACCUGGAGUGGAUGGCAUUAGGACAGGAAAGAUACAAACACAUGUCUGCAAAGAUCACUCAGUAGAAGAGAUGCAGGCACAUCACUGAAAUUUUAAUACACGAAAUAAAAGACAUUAUCUUCAUUCAUGAAUUACCAUCUUUGCUAAAUAAAUUUCCAUAUCUCAAAAGCUCUCUUCUCCCCUCCCAAUCUAAAACUCAAGUUCUUAUACCUCCAUGAAGCCUUCUUUCCAAAAUCAUCCCAGGUUCCACUGAUCAAUCUUUUUUUCAGACCUUCUGUUAGAGUCCACACCACAUAGAUGAAUAUUGGAUUCUAUAUUAUUUAUAACACUAUUUAGUGUAUUUAUAUCAUAUUUCCCAUUGUGACAGUAAUUUCUUUAGGGACAUAUUUCUUCAGUACCCCAAAGUACUACAUAACAUCGGGUGAGAGUAAUACUGAGUGAAAAUGUACAUGGUGCUUGAUUGUUUAGAGUUCAUGGACCUGUGUCUAAUUUAAGGCUGACUAUUUGACCUUGAAAACUUAGUGCCUCUAUCAUUGCAGAAGGAAAUAAGAAUGCCUUACUACUAUGCUCUCUAUGAAAAAUAAAAGAGGAGACACACCAGUAGGCAGGAUUUUUCUACCAUUAUGGAUUUCCUCUCUGAAAAUCACUAGGAUGAUCAAGAAGAACAGGAUGAGUCAUCAUUUGCAAUCCAGUCCCAGUAGGUAUUUAUAGCCAACUCUAGAAAUAGCAUUCCCACCACUGUAUGCCUUAAUUCUCUUUCCUUCAAGGCUCAGCUUGGCUGUCACUUCAUCUAUGAUUCCUUCCUUGUUUCUCCACCCAGAAGGAUUCCCAUACUCUUCUGAACUACUAGAGCAUUUUAUCUUUCCUCCUUUCAUGACAUAUCACCUCCUGCCUUGUUCUGUAGUUCAUGUCCUUGUUUUCUAUCCCCUAGUAGACACACAGUGACAUAAUAGGUACACAAUACUACAAAUAGAUAAUACCUAUUGAGCUUUAUGUAUAUUUCUCUAUUUAGUACUCAAAGAAAGAGUUGAAAUAAAUACCAUUCACAUCUUAAUUUUACAAAUGGGAAACUGAGGCUCUGAAAGAUUAAGCAAUUUGCUCAGGAUCAUACAACUGAAUAGUGUCAUAUGUAGAAUGUGAUUUGAGAGUCAGUGUCUUAAUAUCUAUGCUAUAAUGACUCAAAAAAUUGUGAAUGAAGGAAGAAAGUAAUGCAAUGAAUUACAAAACAAAACUGUCUUACUUAAUAUAGGCUUUCCAGCCAUCUGUAUUUCUUUAGGCUGUGACUGAUCGAGGGUCUGGUGCUACCUAUUUGUAGAAUAAUCAGACCCAAUAUCAAAAGAGAUCAAAUUUAAGACUUUCAAUCUCACCUGUUAUUCAUGUAAGAAAGAGUCCUAGUUUACAUUUUCAGUCUCUCCCUGAUCUGCAAACUACCCAAAGUUCAUACCUGAAAAUUUUGCAUAAAUGUCCUGAAGAAAACAAUGGAAUUUUGGAACUACUCUCACUCUUUGGGCUGGGUGAUUAAGCUCUGGGCAAUGUGAGCUUACUAAGUUCAGCUAAAGUAACAUUAUCUUUCAUGAAAGUACUGAAAUAGAACCCACUAUCAGUGUUCAACCCUUGAGUCAGCAUAAGAUGGGUCCGGCCUAUACAUAUACCACAGUCAGUCUGUCAAAUAGCAGCAUUCACUGACUCAAUCAAAAGUGGUUAGUAACCAAGAGUACGCCCAUAAAUGUUCAUAUAGAAAAAUUUUUAAAGGUUUUUUAAAAAAAAAAAAAACUAUAAUAUUUUUGCCUUUAUCUGAAAUCCUGGCCCUCUAUGGCAGGCCCACUGUAGACCAUGAACAAUAUUCCUCUGAAUGUUCAAUGUGGAUAACUAGGAAAGAAUGCAAAUAUUGUUUCUCCUAAAAAGUUCUGUUAUCUGGCCAUUCCAUCAUAGAGUUAUGAACUAUGGAUGUAGUGUAGUGUUUCAGAGGAUAGAAUCUGAUGUCAGUCAGCAUGGAUUCAAAUCCUGGCACAACUAUCUUCCCCAAGUUACUUAAACACUCUCUGCCUCCAUUUUCUUAUUUCUAAAAUGAGAUAAUAAAAGCACUCACUUUUGGAAUUGUUAGGGUUAUACACACAAAACACUUAUUCCCGGCCACAAACAAGUGUUAUGUAAAUAUUAUUAUUUUAAUAUAUAAUGUUAAUACUCAAGAUCUACCCAGUGCAGUAGUUAUCAACCUGGGACAAUUUUACCUCUUGUUGCCAUUUAGCAAAGUAUGAGGACAUUUUUGAUUGUCACCAAAAAGUCUGGGGGAAGAGAUGCUAUGGCAUCCAGAAGUAAGAGUCCCGGGACAAUGUUCAACAUCCAAUAAUGUACAAAACAGACCCCUACAACAAAGAAUUAUCUGGCCCAAAAUAUUAAUAGUGCUGAGGCUGGGAAAACCUGGCAGAGAGGCAACCUCUAUUUUAAGAGAACUCAAUGGAACAAAACUCCAAAAGACAAAUGCCAAUAAAUAACAGGUGAUAAUUCCAUUUCAAAAGGCUUUCACCAAAGGGUCCUUUCAAUACCAGAACUCAAUACACUUAUGGGUGGCUUAUAGAUUAAUUACAGCUUCCUUCACAUAUUUAUAUAUUUUAUACGCAUAUGCCAAUGGGAAUGUUAUAAUCCAACACUAGUUAAUAUAUUUAAGGAAAACUAAGUCUAGAAAUAUUGUCAAUGAUUUCAUAAGGGAAAUAAGUUUUAAAAUUUUCAGUAUUUUUGGAUUUAGGCCUUCUUAAAGAAGUCGCCUAUUUGACAGGGAAGUGAGAAAGACAAAAACUUAAAGCUAAUAUCUUAUACCUUAAUGCCAAUUGAAGGCAAAGCACAUCUGAACCGAUAACACAAGUUAAAGAGGAAAGAGAGGGUUUGCAUCAACAUCUACUUCUCAGGAAUUGAUUAACUUAUAGAAUGAGGCACAUCUAUAAAGCCAAUUUUAAUUAUCUAGAUAUUGUCUUAUCUGCUCUAUGACUGGUUAUUAACUGAAUGAUUCAGCUAAUCUAGUCAAUGUGCUUGUAUGUGCUUGAGAUCUGUCAAUACAACAUCUGUUGAUCAAUGAAGAGAAAAAUCCACCAAACCACCCUUCUUUGCACUGUCUUGAUCUAGUUCCCUCAUGUCACCUCACCUCUUCCCAGACAAACCCAGAUAGCACAGUUAUAUGGAUUUUUAGGUUUUCUCCAAUUGUUUUGGCUUUAGGUUAAAAAAAAAAAAAACACCUUUGUCUCUAGAAUUUCUACUUACAGAACCACAGCUUGGCCUCUCUUCUUUAAGAUGAAUUGUAUGUCAUAUGUACCUACAGUACGCCCAGCACUGUAUAUUUUUUUUUUAAAAGCUUAAACCUAGAGGUAAAAAAUCAAGCUUAUUCACAUGAAAUAAUUAAAAGAUAAUUUGUGACAGUGUACAGUGAACCCUUGAACAAUGAGAGCAAUUUGUACAGUGGUCUUUGGAAUAAUACUGACAUGAGUUCAAAUCCCAGCACCACUAUUUGUUAGAUACUUAACUUUAAAUAAGUUACUCAACCUUUCUGAACCUCAGUAUUCCCAUCUCAUUGCACAAUUUUUCUUCAUUCUUUUGGAAUAUUCCUUCUGUUAAUGGUUGGUAAUCAUUUAAGCAGUACCUGAGAGCUAUUUUGGGUCUUCAACUGUUGUUAUACAGAUCCCUUAUACGUGAGAUCAUAAAAGAAAAUUUUUUUCUCAAGAGAGAUCAUUCAGGCAACUUCUGUUUAGCGUAUAUAAGGAUUUGAAUGCAACUCUUUAGGUAAUCAUUAACUGCAAGCCAUUGUUUUUAUUGUCAUUGGUGUUUUGUAGCUAUUCAGAAUAGAAGGAGAAGAGGAAAAGGGAAAAUAGGAAGAGGAAAAGAAGAAAAAAAAAGAGCAAAAGAAGGAAAUGGAGAAAGGUGAGGACUUACCUAGGAAAGAAUAGGAAAGGUAAUCCAGGCAAAAAGUACAGCAUAAAGAAAGACACAAAGGCAAGAAUGAGCAGGUUGAACAUAAAUUGACCAGUCUGAUUGUAUCACAAGGAACAUGUUGGGUGUAAUGAGACAUCUUUUGAUGUGCAAGGAGAAUAGCAAUAGUUACCUGCUACCAAGUAACUACUUCCCCUUUAGGGAGUCAAACUUUGAAAGACCGCAUGCCUACUCCUCUGUAUUUCCAACUGUUUUCCUUCUUUGCACCUUUGAAAAAGGCAAAUGCCCACUGAUUUUGGAAACACAUUCAAGACAUAACAGGCUCACCACCAGUCCUGGUCAGUGAAUUGAUUGCCCCAGGUACUUCUCCCUGGACUGGAAGGCAUUGGUUUCCCACUAUUCUAAACACUAUCUGCAAUUUCCAGUCACAGUAGGUUGGCCCAAUCCUCCUUGAAAUGUAUUACGAACAGAUGAGGUUCUUAGCAUCCUGGGUAAAAAGUAAGAGGCUAGAAUGUUUACAAACUGCCAGUCAACCCAUAAUGUCACCUACCUCCAAAUCAGCCAAAGCUGGCAAGGGUAUUUGAGUGAUCUCCCCAUAAUUCAGCAUUUCCUUUGCAUUUCAGGGAUUUUUUUCAAAAAAAAAAAAAUCUAACACAAUUAACUUUGUAUUUUGGUUCAUUUUCCAUUCAAAUUCCACCAAAUAGAAUAAAUUACCCCCAAAAAGGUUUUCAAUAGAUCUACUGCUGAGGGAGAAAGAAAGAAGAGGGAGAGAGGGAGGUGGAGGAGGAGGAAAGAAAGAGAGAAAGGAAGAGAAGCAGAAUGAGGAAGAACAAAUUUCAUACAUGAAUCAAUCUGAGGUUUUAUCUUAGGGAACUAAACAGAUAAUCCAAAAUUAAAUAAUUUCCCUCAGCUUAAAAUCCUACAUAAGCACUAAAUCCAGCACCCUGAGCAGGCUGCACAGAGUGGUUUGCGAAUAACAGAGAGCCACCUCCCAGCACAGGCUGCCCACCUUCAGUGCCUGGUCUGCUCUCAGUGCUUACCGAGCUGCCGAUUUCUUAAGAGAUGGACAGCCCGACUCUUCUGGUUACAGCAAAACUUCAGAUUCAAAUUGCAACAGAAUUGUUACUUGGUAAACUUGUCAGGCAAUGGAGUCUAUCUUUAGUACCUAUACCACCUCUUUAACCCACCUGUGCCUCCCAAAUUGCCACUCCACUGCCACCUGUGCAGUGCUCGCUCCUGUGAUGAAUUAGAAAAGUAUGAGGGCUUUGGGAGUUCCCAUCGCAGAGCAGUGGAAACAGAUCCAAGUAGGAACCAAGAGGUUGCAGGUUCAAUUCAUGGCCUCGCUCAGUGGGUUAAAGAUCCAGCGUUGCUGUGAGCUGUGGUGUAGGUCACAGACGCAGCUUGGAUCUGGCAUUGCUAUGACGUAGGCUGGCAGCUAUAGCUCCAAUUAGACCCCUAGCCUGGGAACCUCCAUAUGCCUCAGGUGUGGCC